This 268-nucleotide RNase MRP RNA is filed under the name Capsicum annuum. Its description in RNAcentral is "RNase MRP". It matches the Rfam family "RNase MRP". Rfam says of the family: RNase MRP is an enzymatically active ribonucleoprotein with two distinct roles in eukaryotes. In mitochondria it plays a direct role in the initiation of mitochondrial DNA replication. Lineage: Eukaryota; Viridiplantae; Streptophyta; Magnoliopsida; Solanales; Solanaceae. The record is from Rfam by way of RNAcentral.
UGACUGCAAGACGAUGUGAAUGGGUUGAGAACCAUCCAUUUUGGUGGGCCAGGGCCCGGGAAAGUCCCCGGGCCAUUCUGCAUAGAUGCAGGCCCAACAAUGGGUUAGCUUCAUGGGCUAGGAGUCCAAAUCCAAUUAAAAUGGGUUGGGCUGAGACGAGGUGGAGCAUAUGGACUCCUGCUUGGUGACUAUUUUGGCCAGCUAUGACAGUCAUUCAUGUGGUUUAAUUAAACUGGGUUAACCGAACGGGGCUUAUGAUCUUGCAAUC